Molecule: transfer RNA, 72 nt
Filed under: Ovis aries (sheep)
Lineage: Eukaryota; Metazoa; Chordata; Mammalia; Artiodactyla; Bovidae
Rfam family: tRNA
About the family: Transfer RNA (tRNA) molecules are approximately 80 nucleotides in length.
Source: Rfam by way of RNAcentral
UCCCUGGUGGCUCAAACAGUAAAGCAUCUGCCUACAAUGCAGAAGACCCAGAUUCAAUCCCUGGGUAGGGAA